AUACGUAGGGGGCGAGCGUUGUCCGGAAUGAUUGGGCGUAAAGGGCGCGUAGGCGGCCCGGUAAGUCUGGAGUGAAAGUCCUGUUUUUAAGAUGGGAAUUGCUUUGGAUACUGUCGGGCUUGAGUGCAGGAGAGGUAAGUGGAAUUCCCAGUGUAGCGGUGAAAUGCGUAGAGAUUGGGAGGAACACCAGUGGCGAAGGCGACUUACUGGACUGUAACUGACGCUGGGCCGCGAAAGUGUGGGGAGCAAACAGGAUUAGAUACCCUGGUAGUCCACACUGUAAACGAUGAAUGCUAGGUGUAGGGGGUAUCGACCCCUUCUGUGCCGCAGUCAACACAAUAAGCAUUCCGCCUGGGGAGUACGGCCGCAAGGUUGAAACUCAAAUGAAUUGACGGGG
Molecule: ribosomal RNA, 397 nt
Filed under: uncultured bacterium
Lineage: Bacteria
Description: partial 16S ribosomal RNA
Rfam family: Bacterial small subunit ribosomal RNA
Source: RNAcentral